UACGGAGGGUGCAAGCAUUAAUCGGAAUUAUUGGGCGUAAAGGGCGCGUAGGCGGAUUUGUAAGUCAGAUGUGAAAUACCGAGGCUUAACCUCGGUGCUGCAUUUGAAACUACAAAUCUAGAGGGUGGGCGGAGAAAACGGAAUUCCACAUGUAGCGGUGAAAUGCGUGGAUAUGUGGAAGAACACCGGUGGCGAAAGCGGUUUUCUAGCUUAUUUCUGACGCUGAGGCGCGAGAGCAAGGGGAGCAAAC
Molecule: ribosomal RNA, 250 nt
Filed under: uncultured bacterium
Lineage: Bacteria
Description: partial 16S ribosomal RNA
Rfam family: Bacterial small subunit ribosomal RNA
Source: RNAcentral